GUCCAGACUCCUACGGGAGGCAGCAGUGGGGGAUAUUGCACAAUGGGGGAAACCCUGAUGCAGCGACGCCGCGUGGGUGAAGAAGCGCCUCGGCGCGUAAAGCCCUUUCAGCAGGGAAGAAGAUGACGGUACCUGAAGAAGAAGCCCCGGCUAACUACGUGCCAGCAGCCGCGGUAAUACGUAGGGGGCAAGCGUUAUCCGGAUUUACUGGGUGUAAAGGGGGCGCAGACGGCGAUGCAAGCCAGGAGUGAAAGCCCGGGGCCCAACCCCGGGACUGCUCUUGGAACUGCGUGGCUAGAGUGCAGGAGGGGCAGGCGGAAUUCCUGGUGUAGCGGUGAAAUGCGUAGAUAUCAGGAGGAACACCGGUGGCGAAGGCGGCCUGCUGGACGAUGACUGACGCUGAGGCUCGAAAGCGUGGGGAGCAAACAGGAUUAGAUACCCUGGUAG
RNAcentral lists this ribosomal RNA (447 nucleotides) under uncultured bacterium. RNAcentral's name for it is "partial 16S ribosomal RNA". It matches the Rfam family "Bacterial small subunit ribosomal RNA", at positions 329 to 793 of the family's 1533-position model. The record is from RNAcentral.